RNAcentral lists this ribosomal RNA (415 nucleotides) under uncultured bacterium. RNAcentral describes it as "bacterial SSU rRNA". It matches the Rfam family "Bacterial small subunit ribosomal RNA", at positions 30 to 448 of the family's 1533-position model. The record is from RNAcentral.
AUUGAACGCUGGCGGAAUGCUUUACACAUGCAAGUCGAACGGCAGCACGGGGCAACCUGGUGGCGAGUGGCGAACGGGUGAGUAAUACAUCGGAACGUGCCCAAUCGUGGGGGAUAACGUAGCGAAAGUUACGCUAAUACCGCAUACGAUCUACGGAUGAAAGCGGGGGAUCGCAAGACCUCGCGCGAAUGGAGCGGCCGAUGUCAGAUUAGGUAGUUGGUGGGGUAAAGGCUCACCAAGCCGACGAUCUGUAGCUGGUCUGAGAGGACGACCAGCCACACUGGGACUGAGACACGGCCCAGACUCCUACGGGAGGCAGCAGUGGGGAAUUUUGGACAAUGGGCGCAAGCCUGAUCCAGCCAUUCCGCGUGCAGGAUGAAGGCCUCGGGUUGUAAACUGCUUUUGUACGGUAACG